RNAcentral lists this non-coding RNA (58 nucleotides) under Citrus x clementina. Lineage: Eukaryota; Viridiplantae; Streptophyta; Magnoliopsida; Sapindales; Rutaceae. The record is from RNAcentral.
AACUGGUUUUGCCCUACCUUAGGCUCAUCAGGAGAACGGCAUCAGUUCCCAACCAAUG